AUUGAACGCUGGCGGCAUGCCUUACACAUGCAAGUCGAACGGCAGCACGGGAGCAAUCCUGGUGGCGAGUGGCGAACGGGUGAGUAAUAUAUCGGAACGUGCCCAGUCGUGGGGAUAACGUAGCGAAAGCUACGCUAAUACCGCAUACGAUCUACGGAUGAAAGCGGGGGAUCGCAAGACCUCGCGCGAUUGGAGCGGCCGAUAUCAGAUUAGGUAGUUGGUGAGGUAAAGGCUCACCAAGCCGACGAUCUGUAGCUGGUCUGAGAGGACGACCAGCCACACUGGGACUGAGACACGGCCCAGACUCCUACGGGAGGCAGCAGUGGGGAAUUUUGGGACAAUGGGCGCAAGCCUGAUCCAGCAAUGCCGCGUGCAGGAUGAAGGCCUCGG
RNAcentral lists this ribosomal RNA (390 nucleotides) under uncultured bacterium. RNAcentral's name for it is "bacterial SSU rRNA". It matches the Rfam family "Bacterial small subunit ribosomal RNA", at positions 29 to 420 of the family's 1533-position model. The record is from RNAcentral.